Molecule: ribosomal RNA, 985 nt
Filed under: uncultured bacterium
Lineage: Bacteria
Description: bacterial SSU rRNA
Rfam family: Bacterial small subunit ribosomal RNA
Source: RNAcentral
UCAAUACUGCUAGCUGUGACGUUAACAACAGAAGAAGCACCGGCUAACUCCGUGCAGCAGCGCGUAAUACGGAGGGUGCGAGCGUUAAUCGGAAUUACUGGGCGUAAAGCGCACGCAGGCGGUCUGUUAAGCUAGAUGUGAAAGCCCCGCGCUCAACGUGGGAGGGUCAUUUAGAACUGGCAGACUAGAGUCUUGGAGAGGGGAGUGGAAUUCCAGGUGUAGCGGUGAAAUGCGUAGAGAUCUGGAGGAACAUCAAUGGCGAAGGCAACUCCCUGGCCAAAGACUGACGCUCAUGUGCGAAAGUGUGGGUAGCGAACAGGAUUAGAUACCCUGGUAGUCCACACCGUAAACGCUGUCUACUAGCUGUUUGUGGAUUUAAUCCGUGAGUAGCGAAGCUAACGCGAUAAGUAGACCGCCUGGGGAGUACGGCCGCCAGGUUAAAACUCAAAUGAAUUGACGGGGGCCCGCACAAGCGGUGGAGCAUGUGGUUUAAUUCGAUGCAACGCGAAGAACCUUACCUACUCUUGACAUACUAGAAACUUUUCAGAGAUGAAUUGGUGCCUUCGGGAAUCUAGAUACAGGUGCUGCAUGGCUGUCGUCAGCUCGUGUCGUGAGAUGUUGGGUUAAGUCCCGCAACGAGCGCAACCCUUGUCCUUAGUUACCAGCAUUAAGUUGGGUACUUUAAGGAGACUGCCGGUGACAAACCGGAGGAAGGUGGGGACGACGUCAAGUCAUCAUGGCCCUUACGAGUAGGGCUACACACGUGCUACAAUGGCGAGUACAAAGGGAUGCAAACUGGUGACAGUAAGCGGACCCCUUAAAGCUCGUCGUAGUCCGGAUUGGAGUCUGCAACUCGACUCCAUGAAGUCGGAAUCGCUAGUAAUCGUAGGUCAGCAUACUACGGUGAAUACGUUCCCGGGCCUUGUACACACCGCCCGUCACACCAUGGGAGUGGGAUGCAAAAGAAGUAGGUAGCUUAACCUUC